RNAcentral lists this ribosomal RNA (908 nucleotides) under uncultured archaeon. Its description in RNAcentral is "bacterial SSU rRNA". It matches the Rfam family "Archaeal small subunit ribosomal RNA", at positions 8 to 921 of the family's 1478-position model. The record is from RNAcentral.
UUGAUCCCGCCGGAGGUUACUGCUAUCGAGGUUCGACUAAGCCAUGCGAGUCGAAUGUAGCAAUACAUGGCGUACUGCUCAGUAACACGUGGACAACCUACCCUUAGGAUGGGGAUAAACCCGGGAAACUGAGUAUAAUACCCGAUAGUCCUCGAACGCUGGAAUGCAUCGAGGACUAAAGCUCCGGCGCCUAAGGAUGGGUCUGCGGCCUAUCAGGUAGUAGUGGGUGUAGCGUACCUACUAGCCUACGACGGGUACGGGUUGUGAGAGCAAGAGCCCGGAGAUGGAUUCUGAGACACGAAUCCAGGCCCUACGGGGUGCAGCAGGCGCGAAAACUUUACAAUGCUGGAAACAGCGAUAAGGGGACCUCGAGUGCCAGGUUACAAAUCUGGCUGUCGUGAUGCCUAAAAAGCAUUGCAUAGCAAGGGCCGGGCAAGACCGGUGCCAGCCGCCGCGGUAACACCGGCGGCUCGAGUGGUAACCGUUAUUAUUGGGUCUAAAGGGUCUGUAGCCGGCCGGAUAAGUCUCUUGGGAAAUCUGGCAGCUUAACUGUCAGGCUUCCAGGAGAUACUGUCUGGCUCGAGGCCGGGAGAGGUGAGAGGUACUUCAGGGGUAGGGGUGAAAUCUUGUAAUCCUUGAAGGACCACCAGUGGCGAAGGCGUCUCACCAGAACGGACCUGACGGCAAGGGACGAAAGCUAGGGGCACGAACCGGAUUAGAUACCCGGGUAGUCCUAGCCGUAAACGAUACUCGCUAGGUGUCGGCCACGGUGCGACCGUUGUCGGUGCCGUAGGGAAGCCGUGAAGCGAGCCACCUGGGAAGUACGGCCGCAAGGCUGAAACUUAAAGGAAUUGGCGGGGGAGCACCACAACGGGUGGAGCUUGCGGUUUAAUUGGAUUCAACGCCGG